Molecule: ribosomal RNA, 484 nt
Filed under: uncultured bacterium
Lineage: Bacteria
Description: partial 16S ribosomal RNA
Rfam family: Bacterial small subunit ribosomal RNA
Source: RNAcentral
AUUGAACGCUGGCGGCAUGCCUUACACAUGCAAGUCGAACGGCAGCGCGGGAGCAAUCCUGGCGGCGAGUGGCGCACGGGUGAGUAAUACAUCGGAACGUGCCCAAUCGUGGGGGAUAACGCAUCGAAAGCUGUGCUAAUACCGCAUACGAUCUACGGAUGAAAGCAGGGGAUCGCAAGACCUUGCGCGCAUGGAGCGGCCGAUGGCAGAGUAGGUAGUUGGUGAGGUAAAGGCUCACCAAGCCUUCGAUCUGUAGCUGGUCUGAGAGGACGACCAGCCACACUGGGAGUGAGACACGGCCCAGACUCCUACGGGAGGCAGCAGUGGGGAAUGUUGGACAAUGGGCGAAAGCCUGAUCCAGCCAUGCCGCGUGCAGGAUGAAGGCGUUCGGGUUGUAAACUGCUUUUGUACGGAACGAAACGGUCUUUUCUAAUAAAGAAGGCUAAUGACGGUACCGUAAGAAUAAGCACCGGCUAACUACGUG